Molecule: long non-coding RNA, 1581 nt
Organism: Piliocolobus tephrosceles (Ugandan red Colobus)
Lineage: Eukaryota; Metazoa; Chordata; Mammalia; Primates; Cercopithecidae
Source: Ensembl
AUAUAUAUAUAUAUAUAUAUAUAUAUAAUAUAUUAUAAUUUUUUCUUUUUUUCUUUUUUAUUUUGUAUAGAAAAAAAAAAGAAAUAAAAUAAUAAAAUUUAUUUAAGCUAUGCAUGCUUUUUAACUAUUGAUAGUUUUUUUUUUUUUAUAAUAUAAAAUGUUGUUUUUAGCUAUGUUGCUCAAAUAUUUUUAAAUUAGAAUUAUUUUUCUUUAUGAUUUUUAUUCUGAUGUUUUAAAGAAUAUUAUCAUAAAAGAAACAUAUUAUUUACCAUAUUAAUGUUUAUGUAUUUUCAUAAAUUGUGUAAAGUCAUCAUAUUCUGUAUAAUGUAACAUAGUUAAUAUAUUAAAAUAGUUUUUAUAGGCUUCGCUUAUAAAUUUGAAUGUCAUUAUUUUACAUCUUCUAUUGCUCCUAUUUGUCAUUUCUAUUUAUUCCUUUUUUUUUUUAUUUAUUUUAGUUUAUGUUAUUUUAUUUUAUUUUUUUAUUCUAUAUUUUUUAUGCUUAAAAAAAAAUAUGUAUUCAAAAAUAUAAACAGAUAAAAAAUAAAAAAAAUGUAUAUAUUUACAUAUAUAUGAAUAUGUAUAUAUAUAUACAUAUUUUUUUUUUUUUUUUCACUAAUUUAUAAUCAGUGCAAACGUUAGAACCUAAACACUUGUGAAGUUUAUAACUGUGUCUUAUGUUCAAUUUCUAGUAGUUCUAAAUAUUAUAUAUAUUUGUUCAUGUGUUUAACUCUGAUAAGAAAAAAAUGGGGCUAAAUAAAAAAGAAGACCAAAAUAUAAAUUUGGAUGAUUUACAAGCUGACCCUUCGUUUAAGGAAGAAGCCAUACGAGUGUGUACUCGUAUGAGACCUUUAUUUGAAAAAGAAAUCAAUAGUGGACACUUAAAAGCUUGGAAAAUGAAUGAAACUGAUAUGCAGUUGAUAGUUGAACCACUUUCUUUAACAGAAAUGUUAAAUGCGAGAACUCCUAAAACAAAGAAUAAAUCUGAUGUUAAAAAGAACGUAGAAAAGACGGAGGGACAAAAAGCGGUUAUACAACGGGUUUUUGCUUUUGAUAGGUGUUUCGAUGAUAUAGGUAAUUGAAUAAAAUUGUUAUUUUAUAGAAAGUAUUAAAUAUAUUUACAUAGUCUUUUUUUUUUUUUUUUUUUUUUUACAUGUACAUUUUCUAAUUUUAUUUCCUUUUUUUAUCGUAAUUUUUUUUUUGUACUCUUAAUUUUUUUUUUAUUCUUAAUUUUUUUUUUUUUUUUUUUUGUUUUAAUUAUUACCCAUUUUUGGUAGUUUAACCCAUGAUAGAUUAUUCAUCAUUUACGCGUAUGUGUUAAUACACAUAAGUGUGCAUAUAAAACACUCGUAUACAUGUUAAUAUCACAAUUUUUAUUAUGUUUUACAGUUGGAAAUGAAGAAGUGUACAAUCAUUUAGCAAGAGACAUAAUUAUUGAUACAUUUAAAGGUAUUAAUGGGUGCAUUCUCGCUUAUGGUCAAACGGGAUCUGGAAAAACACAUACUGUUAUGGGUAUUCCGUCUGAUCCAGGUAUGUUACCUAGAUCGCUAGCAGAAUUUUUUAAUGGCAUUGAAAACCCUUCCU